This 503-nucleotide ribosomal RNA is filed under the name uncultured bacterium. Its description in RNAcentral is "partial 16S ribosomal RNA". It matches the Rfam family "Bacterial small subunit ribosomal RNA", at positions 30 to 523 of the family's 1533-position model. The record is from RNAcentral.
AUUGAACGCUGGCGGCAGGCCAACACAUGCAAGUCGAACGGUAGCACAGAGAGCUUGCUCUCGGGUGACGAGUGGCGGACGGGUGAGUAAUGUCUGGGAAACUGCCCGAUGGAGGGGAAUAACUACUGGAAACGGUAGCUAAUACCGCAUAACGUCGCAAGACCAAAGUGGGGGACCUUCGGGCCUCACACCAUCGGAUGUGCCCAGAUGGGAUUAGCUAGUAGGUGGGGUAACGGCUCACCUAGGCGACGAUCCCUAGCUGGUCUGAGAGGAUGACCAGCCACACUGGAACUGAGACACGGUCCAGACUCCUACGGGAGGCAGCAGUGGGGAAUAUUGCACAAUGGGCGCAAGCCUGAUGCAGCCAUGCCGCGUGUAUGAAGAAGGCCUUCGGGUUGUAAAGUACUUUCAGCGAGGAGGAAGGCGUUGUGGUUAAUAACCGCAGCGAUUGACGUUACUCGCAGAAGAAGCACCGGCUAACUCCGUGCCAGCAGCCGCGGUAA